This is a long non-coding RNA of Rhopalosiphum padi (bird cherry-oat aphid), 1250 nucleotides long. RefSeq lists it as uncharacterized. Lineage: Eukaryota; Metazoa; Arthropoda; Insecta; Hemiptera; Aphididae. The transcript has 3 exons. The record is from RefSeq and is a predicted model, not a curated record.
CAUAGUAUAUAACAUAAUAAACGCAUGUAUAAUAAUAUUAUGUACCCUACCUAAACAUCGACCGCACGACGCAAACUGCAGUGCCGUUUGGUUUCCCGCGGAAGAUAAUUGAUUUAUUGUAGUGGUGCACAGACGUCUGCGGACUUCGAAAUACAUAUUAAUUAGACGAAUUAAUGGAAACGAAAUAAUAAUAUAUAACUCGCCAGUGUUAUAUUUUGUACACCGCGGCUAUAGGACAUUAACCUCGAGAGAACGCCAUGCUGCGGACAGACGAUGUACAUUCAAACGAAUCGAAAGCAUUACAGAACGGAUUUGCUAAUUCGAUGUCAUUUCAUUUCUUAGUUCAGGCGCAUUAAAUAUAUAAUAAUAUAUAAAUAUAAACAGCCAACAAGGUCGGUUUAUAUAGGCGCGCUGCCGGUGAGUUGUCGUGCGUAUUGCAUUCCAGCCAAACAAGUUGAUCAACAAAUUUAAUUUCGCGCAAAACCAUUCAUUCGUAAAAAAUAAAAUGUUUUCAGUAAUAUUUUUUUGGUUACGCCAAAUUACGGAUUCAGUGCUCGUAAAAAUAUUAAUCGAUUACGUAUUAAUUUGGUAAACAGAAAUACCUAUACACACGUAAUAGCGUUUCUAAAUUUAAUAUUAUCUGUGGUAAUAAUAUCAACCGGGUAAAAUUUAAAUAUUCAUUUAUAUACACCGAGUGGCGAGUAGUAUCGUUGCAGAUUAUGUGCUGAAUAAACUUGAAUUUCAAUUACAUAUUUGCAUCAUUACUAUGCCUUACAUCGAUUAUAAUAAUAUUAAAAUAUGUAUUGUUUUUCAAUACAAUACGUGCUUAAAAUAAUUAUUUACAAUUAUAAAAAUAGAUUUUAUCUAUAGUUUAAUGUGUAAUAUUAUUUUAAAAAUUUAUUAUGACAAUCAAAUGAUUUAUAUUAUAGUCAUAGGUCAAAUUGAUUUUAUCUUUAAUUGCGCAUCGAUGCCCCACAACUACACAAAUACGAAAGUAGUACUUGUAGUACGAAGUACCUGCUCAACGGCCAACAUAAAAUUAGUACCAUUUUAGUAUUCAAAGUCUAUAAAAUGAACCUUUUAAUAAUAAAUGGGAGGCUAGUAAACAAUUUGUACGUAAAAGUUUCUCUUAAUGUUUUUAUUAUGUAUAAUGUAUCUGAAUAAUAAUAAAUCAUCUAAUAAGUAAUAUUACGAGAAAUAUAAAAAUCAUGUUAUGUCUAAAAAAAUGUUUAAACAAGUAAAUACGUUUA